UUCCCGCGGGUCCUUAAAAAGUCUUAAUCACCCUUAAAUUAAAAUUCGGGAAAUUAAGCUCUUAAAUUGUCUUAAAUUUACCGUAAAGUCGCUAUAGGUAUUACAUUUUCAGCCUGUUUGCUUAAUGACGAUAUGGAAACACAGUGGUCCACCGUAAAACAUCUUAUAGUUGAUCAAUUUAGUAUGUGUGAAAUAGGUGAAAAAUUACAGCAUUUUUAUUACGGUAGGUUGGCUACAGACGCUGACGUCGGUCUGCAUCUCCGUGCUGUCAUUACACGGUUGUUGAGGUGAGGUUCAAAAUACAAAGAUGGGAAAGUGUAAAUUUA
Danio rerio (zebrafish) is the source of this 326-nucleotide non-coding RNA. The record is from Ensembl. Lineage: Eukaryota; Metazoa; Chordata; Actinopteri; Cypriniformes; Danionidae.